UUGAAAGAGAGUUUGAUCGCGCUGGCUCAGGGUGAACGCGCUGGCAGCAGGCCUAACACAUACCAAGUCGAACGGUAACAGGAAGCAGCUUACUGCUUCAGCGGCGAAAGUGGCGGACGGGUGAGUAAUGUCACAGGAAACUGCCUGAUGGAGAGGGAUAACUACUGGAAACGGUGGCUAAUACCUGCACCGCGCAUAACGUCCUGCCAAGACCAAAGAGGACCUUCGGGCCUCUUGCCUGCAUCAGAUAAUGUGCCCAGAUGGGAUUGUAGCAUUUGGUGAGGUAACGGCUCACCAAGGCGACGAUCCUAGCUGGUCUGAGAGGGGUGACCAGCCACACUGGAACUGAGACACGGUCCGGAAGAACUCCUACGGGGGCAGUGGGGAAUAUUGCACAAUGAGGCGCAAGCCUGAUGCAGCCAUGCCGCGUGUAUGAAGAAGGCGCUUCAGGUUGCUGUAGAAGUACUUUUCAGCGGGGAGGAAGAUUUGUGGUUAAUAACCGCAGCAAUUGACGUUACCCGCAGAAGAAGCUUUCGGCAACUCCCGUGCCAGCAGCCGCAGUAUUAUGCACGGAGGUGCAAGCGUUAAUCAAAUUACUGGGCGUAAAGCGCGCACGCAGGCAGUCUGUAAAGUCGGAUGUAAAUCCCCGGGCUCCCAACACAGGAACUGCGUUGAAACUGGCGGAAGGCUUGAGUCUUAUAUGUAGAGGGUGAAUUCCCGAGGUGGCGGUGUUGAGGAAAUGCGUAGGAUCUGGAGGAAUACCGGUGGCGAAGGCGGCCACGGACAAGAAGACCUUGACGCUCCGGAAUUAGAAGCGUGGGGAGCAAACAGGAUUAGAUACCUGGUGGUCCGCAUGCGUAAACGAUCGCAGAGGUUGGCCCUUGAGGCGUGGCUUCCGGGAGCUAACGCGCGUUAGUAGACCGCGGGAGUACGGCCGCAAGGUUGAAACUCAAAUGAAUUGUGGGGGCCCGCACAGGCGGUGGGGCGUGUGGUUUGAAUUCGAUGCAACGCGGUACCCACACAGUCUUGACAUCACGGAAGUUUUCCAGAGUGAGAAUGUGCCUUCUGAGACCGUGAGACAGGUGCUGCAUGGCUGUCGUCAGCUCGUGUUGUGGAAAUGUUGGGUUAGUCCGCAAGCAGGCGCAACCCUUAUCGCUGUUGCCAGCGAUUAGGUCAGGGGACGCUCUAGGGGACUACCAGUGAUAGGCUGGAAGGUGGGGAUGACGUCCAUCAUCGCUUGGCCCUUACGACGAGGGGCUACACGUGCUACAAUGGCGCGCCACAAGAGAGCGACCUCGCGCGAGGAGCAAGCGGACGGCCUCAUAAGGUGCGUCGUAGUCCGGAUUGGGUCUGCAACUCGACUCCGCGGGGUCGGAAUCGCUAGUAAUCGUGGAUCAGAUACCGCGGUAGCAGAUACGUUCCCGGGCCUUGUACACACCGCCCACGUCACCAUGGGAAUUGGGUUGCAAAGUAGGUAAACCUUCGGGAGGCGCUACUUUGUAUGAUUCUUGACUGGGGUGAAGUCAUAACAAAAGGUAACCGUAGGGGAACCUGCAGUUGGAUCACCUCUUAC
RNAcentral lists this ribosomal RNA (1573 nucleotides) under Salmonella enterica subsp. enterica. RNAcentral describes it as "16S ribosomal RNA". It matches the Rfam family "Bacterial small subunit ribosomal RNA". Lineage: Bacteria; Pseudomonadati; Pseudomonadota; Gammaproteobacteria; Enterobacterales; Enterobacteriaceae. The record is from RNAcentral.